This 689-nucleotide long non-coding RNA is filed under the name Micromonas commoda. Its description in RNAcentral is "long non-coding RNA (MCOM_LNC000314)". Lineage: Eukaryota; Viridiplantae; Chlorophyta; Mamiellophyceae; Mamiellales; Mamiellaceae. The record is from RNAcentral.
AAAAGGCCGAUUCUGCUGCAUCGCACUGUGUGCAGUUCUGCAUGCCGUUGCUCCAUCGAUCGGCAAAGCAACACACUCCGCCGGCACACAUUUUAUGGUUGUAGCAAUCGGAGUCCGAGCUGCAGCUCUCGCCUGCAUUCUUCAAGGUGGAGCAAGCCCCGUUGCCUGAUGUGCAAAUUCCGCAGCCCUGAGCCACUGCUGUGUCGCUACAGCAAUAGUUCCCUUUGCAACUGUUUGACAGGCAUUCGUCGUUGUUGCCCCAACACCGUGAGCCCGCAUUGCCCUUCGCUCUGCAAUCGUAGGUACCAUCUCGGUACUGCGUUGCGCUGUCACAUAUCUGCCUGCAUCUGCCGUAAUAGAUCUCAUAACCCUCAUCGCACUCUGUACAAAAGGCCGAUUCUGCUGCAUCGCACUGUGUGCAGUUCUGCAUGCCGUUGCUCCAUCGAUCGGCAAAGCAACACACUCCGCCGGCACACAUUUUAUGGUUGUAGCAAUCGGAGUCCGAGCUGCAGCUCUCGCCUGCAUUCUUCAAGGUGGAGCAAGCCCCGUUGCCUGAUGUGCAAAUUCCGCAGCCCUGAGCCACUGCUGUGUCGCUACAGCAAUAGUUCCCUUUGCAACUGUUUGACAGGCAUUCGUCGUUGUUGCCCCAACACCGUGAGCCCGCAUUGCCCUUCGCUCUGCAAUCGUAG